GUUAGCUCAGUUGGUUAGAGCGUGGUGCUGAUAACGCCAAGGUCAUGGGUUCGACCCCCAUA
This 62-nucleotide transfer RNA is filed under the name Rhodella violacea. It matches the Rfam family "tRNA", at positions 7 to 64 of the family's 71-position model. From Rfam's summary of the family: Transfer RNA (tRNA) molecules are approximately 80 nucleotides in length. Their secondary structure includes four short double-helical elements and three loops (D, anti-codon, and T loops). Lineage: Eukaryota; Rhodophyta; Rhodellophyceae; Rhodellales; Rhodellaceae. The record is from RNAcentral.